This 223-nucleotide ribosomal RNA is filed under the name Clostridioides sp. ZZV14-6104. RNAcentral's name for it is "partial 16S ribosomal RNA". It matches the Rfam family "Bacterial small subunit ribosomal RNA", at positions 62 to 294 of the family's 1533-position model. The record is from RNAcentral. Lineage: Bacteria; Bacillati; Bacillota; Clostridia; Peptostreptococcales; Peptostreptococcaceae.
UUGAGCGAUUUACUUCGGUAAAGAGCGGCGGACGGGUGAGUAACGCGUGGGUAACCUACCCUGUACACACGGAUAACAUACCGAAAGGUAUGCUAAUACGGGAUAACAUAUUUGAGAGGCAUCUCUUAAAUAUCAAAGGUGAGCCAGUACAGGAUGGACCCGCGUCUGAUUAGCUAGUUGGUAAGGUAACGGCUUACCAAGGCGACGAUCAGUAGCCGACCUG